Long non-coding RNA from Cavia porcellus (domestic guinea pig), 316 nucleotides. RefSeq lists it as uncharacterized. The transcript has 2 exons. NCBI's taxonomy places the organism in Eukaryota, Metazoa, Chordata, Mammalia, Rodentia, Caviidae. The record is from RefSeq and is a predicted model, not a curated record.
CUUUCAGGUCUUCUUUCUCCUUUUCUGUCUUUUCCUUGGUGGUACUGUGGAUUGAACUUAGGAUCUUUGCAAUGUUGGAGGACAGAUGAGUCAGCGAGGCUUCACAGUGGCUUAGAGCCUCACCUCUGGCUGAGGCUCUCAGGCAAGCAUCAGAGCCACGAGGGUGUGUACCCACGUGGAUGGAUGGAUGGAGACUGACACAUACCCAGCUCUGGUGGUGGCAUCGUUUCUCUCACAGUCAUCUUCCAGUGCACCCCUCAAUGUAAUUCCAGAUUCUGUGUAUUACAAGCAUGAAUUAAAGGCCUGAUAUGAUUUC